Molecule: long non-coding RNA, 529 nt
Filed under: Hordeum vulgare
Lineage: Eukaryota; Viridiplantae; Streptophyta; Magnoliopsida; Poales; Poaceae
Description: long non-coding RNA (HVUL_LNC014696)
Source: RNAcentral
CCCUUCAUUUUUGUUUUCAAAUCACGAAGAAAUUGUGUUCGAGAUCGAUACAUGACCAUCUUACAUGGCGUGUGUGGUCCAAACGAAAGAAAUUGUAUUCGGACUUCGUCGCGGAUCGAUACAUGACCAUCUUACAUGACGUGUGUGGUCCAAACGAUUACUGAAGCUUGGAAGGUGAGAUGUCAUUAGCAAUCCCAUAUACAUGUGCUGGAUGUUUGACUAUGAAGUCGAACGGUCAUAGAUAAAUCAUGGUUCUUUGUAGGAGCAGGAUCUAGAGCGAUGCGACGUUCCAGAUUAUUAACAAAGAUAAAUCUAUCGGCGACAUAUCAGAUGAGGCAGUGUCGAGUGGCAGGCAAUCCAAAGCGGGCGCAUGUCGUCCGCACGAUACAAGAUAAGAUUGCAUGCAUGAUAGGCAGCUACUACUCCUAGCUAGGUGACUACGACGGGGACGGCCCUGAGGGGCACGGCGAGCGUGUUCACGGUGGUGAACUUCUCGGUGACGUCCAGCUCGUCGGCCGACACGCCGUCN